Molecule: long non-coding RNA, 1458 nt
Organism: Panicum virgatum (switchgrass)
Lineage: Eukaryota; Viridiplantae; Streptophyta; Magnoliopsida; Poales; Poaceae
Exons: 2
Source: RefSeq, a predicted model, not a curated record
CCUAGAAAAUUUAUUUUCUUUCAUCCCUCCUCACCCUGGCGGCGGCCAACAGGAGGCGGAGCCGCAGAGGCGUUGUCGCGCGGAAGCCAAGAUCCUGUCGUCCUCCUCCCAGAUCCACCCCUCUCCUUUCUGGUUCAGGCAGAAUCGCUCCACCCACACCCAUUUCCGUCCAUCUCUCCCCUUCAUUCUGUAGCGCGUAGUUGCUUCUUUGUUUUUAAUCGUACUCUGCACUUGUGCUGAUCUCUCGCGUUGUUUUCAAUCGUGUCACAACUCCCAAAUCAGGUCGUCGUGCUUGGCUAUGCCCUCCUCAUGGAGGCCUCAUGCAGUCAGUUCGUCAGCGGUUUGGACGCAGCGGGUAGGUCGGCAGCGGUGGCGGCGCCGUCGGUCAAGUUGUCACUUGUCAGACAUGUCGGUGUUGGUAAUGAUGCUCCGGCAAGAGCUGCAGCACCAUGGCCGGAAGCAGCAGACCAGAAAUAUUUGUAGAAAUUGAGAUCAAUGGGACAUGGACUGUGUGAUCUAAAACAGAUAUUUGGGCAUGUAGUAUUAUCGUUAAGCAAUUUCCCUCAGAAUAUCAGUUUUUAUGUUUUUUUGUCCAAAUUUCGAUUCAAAUUCGUCCAAAUUCGGUCAUAUUUCGGUCAAAGUUUAAAUUAUUUGACUGGUCAACUCAAUUGAAAUUCGUUCCAAAUUUUCUGAAUUUUCCAAAAUUCGUCCAGUUCGGUGGGCUCCGAAAUUUUUUAACUUUUGAAUCCCAAAACCUUGCCACCCCCUCCCCUCCCCUCCCCUCUCCAGCGGCGCGGCAUGGAGCAGCGGCGGCGGCGUGGGGCUGUGGAGCAGCAGAUCUGGGCGCUCGGCGGUCGAACUGGACUUCGGCAGCGCGGGACCUCGACGGGGCGGCGCGAGCUCGGCAGCACGCCGCGGGACCUUGGCGGCGAAGGCGACGCGGGACCCUGCAGCGUGGCUACUCAAAGCGCCGACGGCGGCACGGCCAGGCGUGUGGUGCAGGGAACAGCCACGAGCCCUCCACUAGACAGGAAGGGGUCCGACUGACGCGGAGCUUCGGCAGCGAUAACCUCGCGUUGCUCCGGCGGCUGCACCCAGGAGUGGCCUUGCGGGCCUGACUGGUGGAGCUGCUCCAGCAGCAGUCCACGGCGGCGGCGUAGUGCGCACGGAGCGACGGCGACGCGGCUCGAGGAGCAGCCGCAGCCGCCGCGCCACCGGCUUGGCCCGGGAAGCAGCGACGCACGACGCGGCUUUUUGCCUUUGGCCUUUUUUUUUCUUUAUUUGAUCUGUAGGGGCAAGUCGUGGAGUGAUCCACCCUAAAAAAGGAAUUUUUAGAGGGCAGUCAUCCCCACCAACCCUUAGAAAUUGAUUUCCAUGGAUGGGUUGGGGGUCACCCGCCCCCACAAAUGUAUUUCUAAGGACGGGUAAUGUACCCGUUUCUGCAAACAGUUAUUUUUA